GGAUCACAGGACAAGUAGAGAUUUUUAACCAAAACAGCUUUGCUUCCUUCUGGUACUUUGAGCUUAGUGGAAGUAGUGGUCACGUACAUGUCUGACUCGUUAGGAAAACCACUCACAUAGUCCUUGAAUAUCACCUGCUUGUUGCUCACUGCCCCUCCCUCACUCGCCAUCUCUUCUCUUCUCCUUCGCUGGGUUAAGUCACUGAUAUUCUCUCCAAUCUCUGCUAUGAGUAAUCUAUGCCUUUAAAGUUGUAUUAUAUAUAUUUAUAAC
This 270-nucleotide unclassified non-coding RNA is filed under the name Hevea brasiliensis (rubber tree). Lineage: Eukaryota; Viridiplantae; Streptophyta; Magnoliopsida; Malpighiales; Euphorbiaceae. The record is from RNAcentral.